This 948-nucleotide ribosomal RNA is filed under the name uncultured bacterium. RNAcentral describes it as "bacterial SSU rRNA". It matches the Rfam family "Bacterial small subunit ribosomal RNA", at positions 49 to 979 of the family's 1533-position model. The record is from RNAcentral.
CUAUACAUGCAAGUAGAACGCUGAAGAGAGGAGCUUGCUCUUCUUGGAUGAGUUGCGAACGGGUGAGUAACGCGUAGGUAACCUGCCUUGUAGCGGGGGAUAACUAUUGGAAACGAUAGCUAAUACCGCAUAACAAUGGAUGACACAUGUCAUUUAUUUGAAAGGGGCAAUUGCUCCACUACAAGAUGGACCUGCGUUGUAUUAGCUAGUAGGUGAGGUAACGGCUCACCUAGGCGACGAUACAUAGCCGACCUGAGAGGGUGAUCGGCCACACUGGGACUGAGACACGGCCCAGACUCCUACGGGAGGCAGCAGUAGGGAAUCUUCGGCAAUGGGGGCAACCCUGACCGAGCAACGCCGCGUGAGUGAAGAAGGUUUUCGGAUCGUAAAGCUCUGUUGUAAGUCAAGAACGAGUGUGAGAGUGGAAAAUUCACACUGUGACGGUAGCUUACCAGAAAGGGACGGCUAACUACGUGCCAGCAGCCGCGGUAAUACGUAGGUCCCGAGCGUUGUCCGGAUUUAUUGAGCGUAAAGCGAGCGCAGGCGGUUUGAUAAGUCUGAAGUUAAAGGCUGUGGCUCAACCAUAGUUCGCUUUGGAAACUGUCAAACUUGAGUGCAGAAGGGGAGAGUGGAAUUCCAUGUGUAGCGGUGAAAUGCGUAGAUAUAUGGAGGAACACCGGUGGCGAAAGCGGCUCUCUGGUCUGUAACUGACGCUGAGGCUCGAAAGCGUGGGGAGCGAACAGGAUUAGAUACCCUGGUAGUCCACGCCGUAAACGAUGAGUGCUAGGUGUUGGAUCCUUUCCGGGAUUCAGUGCCGCAGCUAACGCAUUAAGCACUCCGCCUGGGGAGUACGACCGCAAGGUUGAAACUCAAAGGAAUUGACGGGGGCCCGCACAAGCGGUGGAGCAUGUGGUUUAAUUCGAAGCAACGCGAAGAACCUUACCAGGU